AUUGAACGCUGGCGGAAUGCUUUACACAUGCAAGUCGAACGGCAGCACGGACUUCGGUCUGGUGGCGAGUGGCGAACGGGUGAGUAAUGUAUCGGAACGUGCCCAGUCGUGGGGGAUAACGUAGUGAAAAUUACGCUAAUACCGCAUACGAUCUAUGGAUGAAAGCGGGGGAUCGCAAGACCUCGCGCGAUUGGAGCGGCCGAUAUCAGAUUAGGUAGUUGGUGGGGUAAAGGCCCACCAAGCCAACGAUCUGUAGCUGGUCUGGGAGGACGACCAGCCACACUGGAACUGAGACACAGUCCAGACACCUACGGGAGGCAGCAGUGGGGAAUUUUGGACAAUGGGCGAAAGCCUGAUCCAGCCAUUCCGCGUGCAGGAUGAAGGCCCUCGGGUUGUAAACUGCUUUUGUACAGAACGAAAAGGUUUCUACUAAUACUAGGAGCUCAUGACGGUACUGUAAGAAUAAGCACCGGCUAACUACGUGCCAGCAGCCGCGGUAA
Molecule: ribosomal RNA, 500 nt
Filed under: uncultured bacterium
Lineage: Bacteria
Description: partial 16S ribosomal RNA
Rfam family: Bacterial small subunit ribosomal RNA
Source: RNAcentral